CAGCCUUCGUUUAUCAAUUGCUCCUGACACGGUGACCAGUCAUAUUUUAUCAAGCAUCAGAUCGCUCCGUAUCAAUGCACUAGUAUGUCCUAGCUGACUGUUUUUUUGCAUCUACAGAUACCUCAUUUGUUUUUGCAUUUUGUCUCCUGACUGUUCAUCUCAACUAUUAGGCAGAACCACAGUUGUUUUUGCAUUUUGUCUCCUGACUGUUCAUCUCAACUAUUAGGCAG
This 230-nucleotide long non-coding RNA is filed under the name Setaria italica (foxtail millet). RNAcentral's name for it is "long non-coding RNA (SITA_LNC004886)". The record is from RNAcentral. Lineage: Eukaryota; Viridiplantae; Streptophyta; Magnoliopsida; Poales; Poaceae.